UGAAUACGAGACGCUAAGGCGUCGAAGUAGUGUAUGUCAUACUUCCAAGAAAAGCUUGCACUGUCAUAGAUAAAAAACGCCUGUACCAUAACCGACACAGGUGGGUAGGUAGAGUAUACUAAGGGGCGCGAGAUAACUCUCUCUAAGGAACUCGGCAAAAUAACUCCGUAACUUCGGGAGAAGGAGUGCCUUAUUCGUAAGGUUGCAAUAACAAGAUCCAAGCAACUGUUUAUCAAAAACACAGGUCUCCGCUAAGUCGUAAGACGAUGUAUGGGGGCUGACGCCUGCCCAGUGCCAGAAGGUUAAAGAAGUUGGUUAGCAAUUGCGAAGCUGAUAACUGAAGCCCUGGUGAACGGCGGCCGUAACUAUAACGGUCCUAAGGUAGCGAAAUUCCUUGUCGGGUAAGUUCCGACCCGCACGAAAGGCGUAAUGAUUUGGAUACUGUCUCGGAGAGGGGCUCGGUGAAAUAGACUUGUCUGUGAAGAUGCGGACUACCUGCACCAGGACAGAAAGACCCUAUGAAGCUUUACUGUAACUUGAAAUUGAAAUUGGACUUUAUUCGCGCAGUAUAGGUGGGAGGCGUUGAUUAUAAUCUUGUGGGAUUAUUGGAGCCAUCAGUGAGAUACCACUCUUGUAAUGUUAGAUUUCUAACUUUGAAUCAUUAUCUGGUCAAAGAACAGUUUCAGGCGGGCAGUUUGACUGGGGCGGUCGCCUCCUAAACGGUAACGGAGGCGUACAAAGGUUUCCUCUGAACGGUUAGAAAUCGUAUCUAGAGUGUAAAGGCAUAAGGAAGCUUGACUGUGAGACCUACAAGUCGAGCAGGGACGAAAGUCGGUCUUAGUGAUCUGACGGUACUGAGUGGAAAGGCCGUCACUCAACGGAUAAAAGUUACUCUAGGAUAACAGGCUGAUCUCCCCCAAGAGUUCACAUCGACGGGGAGGUUUGGCACCUCGAUGUCGGCUCAUCGCAUCCUGGGGCGGUAGUACGUCCCAAGGGUUGGGCUGUUCGCCCAUGAAAGCGGUACGCGAGCUGGGUUCAGAACGUCGUGAGACAGUUCGGUCCAUAUCCGGUGUAGGCGUUAGAAUAUUGAGAGGAGCCUUCUUUAGUACGAGAGGACCGAGAAGGACAUACCUCUGGUGUACCAGUUAUCGUGCCAACGGUAAACGCUGGGUAGCUAUGUAUGGAGUGGAUAACCGCUGAAAGCAUCUAAGUGGGAAGCCCACCUCAAGAUAAGUGUUCU
RNAcentral lists this ribosomal RNA (1240 nucleotides) under metagenome. Its description in RNAcentral is "bacterial LSU rRNA". It matches the Rfam family "Bacterial large subunit ribosomal RNA", at positions 1564 to 2814 of the family's 2925-position model. The record is from RNAcentral.